GAUGAAGAACGUAGCAAAACGCGAUAAGUAAUGUGAAUUGCAGAAUCCAGUGAAUCAUCGAAUCUUUGAACGCACAUUGCGCCCGCCAGCAUUCUGGCGGGCAUGCCUGUUCGAGCGUCAUUUCAACCCUCGACCUCCCCUUGGGGAGGUCGGCGUUGGGGACCGGCAGCACACCGCCGGCCCUGAAAUGGAGUGGCGGCCCGUCCGCGGCGACCUCUGCGCAGUAAUACAGCUCGCACCGGGACCCCGACGCGGCCACGCCGUAAAACACCCAACUUCUGAACGUUGACCUCGAAUCAGGUAGGACUACCCGCUGAACUUAAGCAUAUCAAUAAGCGGAGGA
RNAcentral lists this unclassified non-coding RNA (343 nucleotides) under soil metagenome. RNAcentral describes it as "partial contains 5.8S ribosomal RNA, internal transcribed spacer 2, and large subunit ribosomal RNA". The stretch from base 1 to 120 matches the Rfam family "5.8S ribosomal RNA", at positions 35 to 154 of the family's 154-position model. The record is from RNAcentral.